CAGAAGACAUGAGAUAACUUUAAAGAAUACAAAGAUUGCAAGUAUCCAGGCUCAGGAGAGGGGGUCAGUGGGAAGCCCACUGCUGCUACUUGGCCCUGGUUUGCCCUCAUGGAUGAGGUGAUAGGACAGAUGCCUUCCAUUACGCCUCCUGUCCUAAUCUCCUCUCUCCCUGAGGACACUCCAGGGCCAAGCGCAGCAGUGGGUGACCAAAACGACA
Oreochromis niloticus (Nile tilapia) is the source of this 217-nucleotide long non-coding RNA. RefSeq lists it as uncharacterized. Lineage: Eukaryota; Metazoa; Chordata; Actinopteri; Cichliformes; Cichlidae. The record is from RefSeq and is a predicted model, not a curated record. The transcript is spliced from 2 exons.